CAGGCCUAACACAUGCAAGUCGAGCGGUAACAGGUGUAGCAAUACAUGCUGACGAGCGGCGAACGGGUGAGUAAUGCUUUGGAAUCUUCCCAGUAGUGGGGAACAACCAGUCGAAAGAUUGGCUAAUACCGCAUACGUCUGUGAAGAGAAAGCGGGGGAUCGUAAGACCUCGCGCUAUUGGAUGAGCCAAAGUCGGAUUAGCUAGUUGGUGAGGUAAAGGCUCACCAAGGCGACAAUCCGUAGCUGGUCUGAGAGGAUGAUCAGCCUCACUGGGACUGAGACACGGCCCAGACUCCUACGGGAGGCAGCAGUGGGGAAUAUUGGACAAUGGGCGCAAGCCUGAUCCAGCCAUGCCGCGUGGGUGAUGAAGGCCCUAGGGUUGUAAAGCCCUUUCGGCGGGGAAGAUAAUGACGGUACCCGCAGAAGAAGCCCCGGCUAACUUCGUGCCAGCAGCCGCGGUAAUACC
This 466-nucleotide ribosomal RNA is filed under the name uncultured Alphaproteobacteria bacterium. Its description in RNAcentral is "bacterial SSU rRNA". It matches the Rfam family "Bacterial small subunit ribosomal RNA", at positions 43 to 527 of the family's 1533-position model. Lineage: Bacteria; Pseudomonadati; Pseudomonadota; Alphaproteobacteria. The record is from RNAcentral.